Molecule: long non-coding RNA, 523 nt
Filed under: Ursus maritimus (polar bear)
Lineage: Eukaryota; Metazoa; Chordata; Mammalia; Carnivora; Ursidae
Description: lncRNA (ENSUMAG00000011429.1)
Source: RNAcentral
CCCAACUCAUCAAGUGUAUACAUUAAAAAUGUAUGGUUUUUUUGUGUUUCAGUUACAUCUCAAUAAAGAGUUGAAGAAAAUCAGUGGAUCUGUGUUCCGCCUUGGGAGCAAAAAGGAAUGUGGUCUGAGAAGGGGAGGCCGGGGGAACUCAGAACACAGGAUCUGCACGUUCUUAGAAAGAGCUAUAGAAUGUAAGGAUUUACAUAAUUAAAGAGAAGAAUCAUUUUGUUAACUAAUUAUGAGAUGAUUGAUGGCCAGAGUUAAGGGCAGUGACUUGGCCUUAGGGCCUGGGCCUCUAGCUGAUGGCAGAUUUAACAGGACCGUCUGGGAGAGAGCUCUAAGUAUCUACGGAGUUGAAGGAACAUCAAAUGAAAGUAGGGGAGCUAACAUCCUGUCUCUGCCAGCUGAGCUUAGAAGGCAAAGAAGAACAUUGGUAAUAAGACUUAGAAGUUGUCCCAAGCUAACGCCGGAAACUAUAAAGGACAUCUUGGUCUCCAGGGUGAGGAAUUCAUUUUACUCUUAA